AUGUAUUUUUUGUUCACUAUAGCAGCUGUUUCAGCUCGGCUCCCCCCGCCCCCCCCCCAUGUCCUUCUGGACACAGAACGCGUCUCUUCGGAGAGCCCUUUGGAAAUCCUGGGCAGUCCAGGGCGCCCUUCGGCCCCGGAGCUAGAAGCAGCCCGAUGGCUCCAGGGGUUUCCGGGCAGGCAGAUCUCUGGGCCCAUCCAGACUCCGUCCCGGGGGGGGGGGUGUCUGCCUGGUGAGGUCACUCCAAGGGGCAGAGACGGACUUCGUGACCUUGGACUAGUCCCUGCCGAUGUUAGGGGAGGCAGGCUGGGGCAGACUCCUCCUUUCACCCCCCAGCUGGGCACGUUAACCUCUGGGGCCCUGGGCAGCGCUCUGGGACCUCCAGUUGCUGAGGAGGCUCUCCUUCCUCGGGAGCCCCCCGGGGCGUCGGAAACACCACGUUUGGCCCCUGGCUUGGAGGUCCCUUUGGCCAUGAAACGCUGCUCUGCCUUACGAACGUGUGACCUUGGUCAAGUCCUUCUCCUUCCUGGACCUCUGCCAGACGCGGAGGUAGGACUCUCGUCUAAGCCGGCUCAGAAGCCUGCACGGCUGGGGUCAGAGAGGGCCCGGCCUCGGGUCCCAGGUGGGCAGGGUCCAGCCCCUCGUCGUCUGACCCUCGAAAGCCAACCUCAGGGCCAUCAGAUUCAUCGUGGAAGCUGGCAAAGUCUCCAGGAAAAGUGCUCAUACAUAUUUGAAGAAGGGAAGGAUGAGGUCACUCAGGAUGGAAGGACCACCUGGUGUUUGGUGUUUGCCCGGAGCUUGGGGAGGGCCCGGAGGGGGGAUGGGGCCGCCGCCGGCCUCGGGGCUCUCCCACUUGGCCACGAGAGGUCUCCAGAGCCGGCCUCCGGAUCAAUGGCCCGACGGCAUGUUCCAGCCUGGCCAGCCAUCGUGGCUUGUUGGGCACUGCCUCGCUGUGCCCGAGCCUCCGGGGCCUCUUCUGGAGUCCGCUCAGCAAAGGCACCGGAGCGCUUGGCGAUUUCCUUUGACACAGAAGGACUCGGAGGCAAACAGGGCUAA
Molecule: long non-coding RNA, 1056 nt
Filed under: Monodelphis domestica (gray short-tailed opossum)
Lineage: Eukaryota; Metazoa; Chordata; Mammalia; Didelphimorphia; Didelphidae
Description: lncRNA (ENSMODG00000049743.1)
Source: RNAcentral